CCGAGUUAUACAACUCACAAACCCUGUGAACAUACCUACUGUUGCUUCGGCGGGAUCAGACGGCCCUGUAACAACGGGCCGGCCCCGCCAGAGGAACCCCUAACUCUGUUUUUAGUGGAAUUUUCUGAGUAUAAACAACAAAUAAAUUA
RNAcentral lists this unclassified non-coding RNA (149 nucleotides) under soil metagenome. RNAcentral describes it as "partial internal transcribed spacer 1". The record is from RNAcentral.